RNAcentral lists this long non-coding RNA (2385 nucleotides) under Xyrichtys novacula (pearly razorfish). The record is from RNAcentral. Lineage: Eukaryota; Metazoa; Chordata; Actinopteri; Labriformes; Labridae.
GGCUCAGGAGUGGAGGUUUGGAUUUCGGUUUAUCCAUUUUGCUGUAGCGGUUGAAAUGAGCCUCACAAGGCCGCACCAAAAUAAUACUGUAGCGAUUGGAAUUUAUAAUAAAUGUCUGAAGAUUAAUAAUCUCAAAUUAUGACAUUUAUGCACUCGUUGAAAGGGGCACCACCCACCCUCAAUGGUGGGAAAAUAAAGAAAACAAAAGUUUAAUUCAGAAAUCAAACAUCAAGUCAGUUUUAAUUAAUCAGUCUCAUAUCUUAAGUCGAAAUUCUAAUUUCAGGGACUCCACUUCUGGAAGAACACUAACAGACAGGAACUUAGAAAAAUAAUGAUCUGUUUAUUACAGGAUAACUGAUGGUACAACACACAUGCAAUAAAUGAUGAUAAGAUAAUGAGGAUAAAAUAAUAAUAGGUGAAUAAAUAAAGAUUCUGAGUCAGGCUAGGAGCACUAAAGUUAAUGAUAGUGAGUGAAUAUGCGCUAACAUAUUAACCUACAAUAACUUUGGUGUCGAGAUAAACUCGGAUGUGGAUUUGGAGGAAUCUAAGAUUACCAGAAUAAGUGGAUAUCUGAGUUAUGAACGCAGGAGACAGCACCAGCCCUGUUUGGAACUCUGGAGGUUUGCAUACUUAAGUGAGACUGGUCCUUGGAGAAGAUGGAACAGGUUCCGAAGGUCCGGGGCUACUGGCGGUUCGAGCGGUUCAGCUCAGAAGACGACUGAAGUCAGCCGAAGGAUGAGCCAGGAGUACAAGAGUACAAGAGUCGGGGACAAGAGAGUCAGCAGAAGAGAGUGGGCAACCCCACUUCACUGGUUUUUAUCUUCUCACACUGGGAGUGUCUCUGGGGUGUGUGUGUGAGGAGAAAGAGCAGGAGGGGUCGUGUGGUCUCCAAGCAGAGGAGACAUCGGAUCUCUGAUUAUCUGAUCUAACUUAUUCUUUUGGCGGGUAAAAGAGUCAGAUCUGAUACUCACUCACUAUGAUUAAUAUCAUUGAAUGCUAGGUUUCAUGAUAAAUAAUUUGAUACUAAACACAUAUGAAUGAAGUGUAGGAUCACAUCAAACAUUCUCAUUAUGUUUUAAGUAUCACAUUGAACAUGCUAAAUUACUCUGAAAUGGAACAGAUAGUAACACAUGGAAGCUGUGAACAACAAAAGAGUAAACACAUGUGAAUGAACUUCAUCAUGAUUAAUAAUGGAUUCUAAAUACUCACAUUCAGAUUAUUCAAUGACAUUAUAACCACCUAAUGGUUAAAAAUACUAAAUAAACAACUAAAAUAUAAACCAAACAUUUCUAAACUAUUUCUGUUACCUAGAGUUAAGUUAUGAUUCAUAGUCGAUCAAUUUAACUCUUAAAAGUUCAUGAAACAGUCUGAAAAGCUGUUGGUCUAAAGAAACUAAAGAGCGAUAACUCGGCUUCUGGAGCACAUAGAAAAAUGGGAAACAUCUCAUUUUAACACAAAUUUCAUGAUUAGACAGAUUAGUGCAUUGCUGAAUGCAUAAGAUGUCAGGAUCAGUCAUUUGUAUUCUUUCACCAAAGGAAUGUAGUCUUUAUCAGUGUAUGGUCAAACAGGGUUUUACGACCGAGGUCUGGAGGUCAGUGCCCCCCCUUAUCCUGGGGUCCGUAUGUUCACACACUUUAAGAAGGUAAAUCUCAAAUGGGAGAUCUGGGUUGAGACGUUAAUGUUUAUUUAGAUGGUCAGCAAUGGAGUCAGUUUGAAAGGUAAUAAAAACUCUGUCUUUGUUCUCCGAACUGACCAAUCAUGAAGAGUCAGAGGUUUAGUCAACCUGCAAACAAGUCUGGAAAGAUUUAUAUCCUGUUUCCUGGGACCAGAUAAGGAAGCUUUCCUGUGAGGAAUGUGUGGGUUUCACACCCAGGGUUGUCUUGAUUGCUACAUUGCUAAUGUUUGCUGAAGUAAGGGGCCCAGGGGCCUCAUGUAGCAACGCUGGUGGCGCCAGAAAACCUUGCGUUCGCCAUGAUUGGCGCACACGUCCAGAUUUAUCAUCGCAACACGAGCGUCGGUUCCAGCGCAAAUCCACGUAAAGUGAGGAGGUGGUGUAGAAGUUGGUGUUGAGCCGAUACUUGUGUUGACGGCACUUUGGCGACGCUGUGUGGCGGUGUUUGGUUACUCACUAUGUGACAAGCGUUCACACAUCGCAGUGGAUUAACUGUUAAACAGACGGUUCUUUUAUAGCCCCUCCAGUAAUGCCGACAGGUGUUCGUGUUUGUGUUAACACAUUAACACAAACACGAAUACCUGUCGGCAUUACUGGAGGGGCUAUAAAAGAACCGUCACUCGUGCAGAAUACAACUACAAAUAGAGAAGACAACUUUCAACAAUGGCAGCACUUGCUCUCCUAUAGGACAUCAAAAACCGUGCAAUCCGACG